UACGUAGGCAGCAAGCGUUGUUCGGAAUUACUGGGCGUAAAGAGUGUGUAGGCGGUGCUCUAAGUUCGGUGUGAAAUCUCCCGGCUUAACUGGGAGGGUGCGCCGGAAACUGGAGUGCUUGAGCGCGGGAGAGGAAAGCGGAAUUCCUGGUGUAGCGGUGAAAUGCGUAGAUAUCAGGAGGAACACCUGUGGUGUAGACGGCUUUCUGGACCGUAGCUGACGCUGAGACACGAAAGCGUGGGUAGCAAACAGG
This 253-nucleotide ribosomal RNA is filed under the name uncultured bacterium. RNAcentral's name for it is "partial 16S ribosomal RNA". It matches the Rfam family "Bacterial small subunit ribosomal RNA", at positions 524 to 776 of the family's 1533-position model. The record is from RNAcentral.